CCAGACUUGGAACACUAGGAACACAGACAGACAUAGGAAUUGCUUAAAAACAAGAAGUUCUCCCACCCUUGUUGGAGCGAACGCGCGAGUCUGACAGUGAACCUUUUGGGAAAGAGCCAGCAUUGUAACCAUGCUCGGUGACUUCUCUGGCUUUAUAGGGAACAGAUGUGAUGAUAGCAAGGGGCGCACACGUGAAAUGCCUGGCAGGUACCACUUCGUGGCUCUACUUACUUCUUGCCAUUCCUCUGCCCUCCAAGUGUAGACGGGACACCGUGGGCCUUGGCAGUCACGUUCCGACUCCGGUCUGGUGUACGGGUUGCACUCGGUCUCUCUGGCUAUUUUGUGUGUUCCGAUCUGACAGCCCACAUGCCUCUGCUGUACGCCUCGGCCACAGGACACAGAGCACUAAGAAGACAGAGGACAUUCACGGUCUGGUGAGACAAGUUUGAGAUCUCAUAUUUUCAGCUCACCCUUGAAAACCUUUCUUGGAUUUGACUGACCUUGAUGGCUCCCUGGAAUUUCACCUACAUUUUAUGGGAACUUCAACUCUCCAGAGAGAAGAGCUUUCAGAUAGCUACAGGACUUGCAACUAUGACUUUUAGCUUUCACUUUUGAAUGAGGCUCCAAAUGUCUCAAUGGUGGCGCUAUUUCCAGAUUUGGGGUAAGCCAAUUCUUUGUUGUUGGGGUUGUGCUGUGCAUUGUAGACUAUUAAGCAGCAUUCCUGGCCUCUACCCACUAGAUGCCCAUAGCACCUGUAUCCCCAUCGUAACAACCAAAACUGUCUCCAGACAUUGCCAAAUGUCCACCGCAGGCUAAAAUCACCUCCUGAUUGAGAACUAUUGAAUUAUACUAAGGUUCUCAGAGAGUCCUUCAGCAAGUUCUCAAAACUG
Molecule: non-coding RNA, 890 nt
Filed under: Pongo abelii (Sumatran orangutan)
Lineage: Eukaryota; Metazoa; Chordata; Mammalia; Primates; Hominidae
Source: RNAcentral